AUACGAACUGUGCAAACGUUAUUCGGAAUCACUGGGCUUAAAGGGUGCGUAGGCGGACUUGAAGGUCCGAUGUGAAAUCCCACGCCUCAACCGUGGAAUUGCGUCGGAAACCACAAGUCUUGAGGGAGUCAGAGGUAAGCGGAACUGAUGGUGGAGCGGUGAAAUGCGUUGAUAUCAUCAGGAACACCGGUGGCGAAAGCGGCUUACUGGGACUUUUCUGACGCUGAGGCACGAAAGCUAGGGGAGCGAACGGGAUUAGAUACCCCAGUAGUCC
This 274-nucleotide ribosomal RNA is filed under the name uncultured bacterium. RNAcentral's name for it is "partial 16S ribosomal RNA". It matches the Rfam family "Bacterial small subunit ribosomal RNA", at positions 523 to 796 of the family's 1533-position model. The record is from RNAcentral.